Molecule: ribosomal RNA, 433 nt
Filed under: uncultured bacterium
Lineage: Bacteria
Description: partial 16S ribosomal RNA
Rfam family: Bacterial small subunit ribosomal RNA
Source: RNAcentral
AACGAACGCUGGCGGCAUGCCUAACACAUGCCAGUCGAACGAGACCUUCGGUUCUAGUGGCGCACGGGUGCGUAACGCGUGGGAACCUGCCUUUAGGUUCGGAAUAACUCAGAGAAAUUUGAGCUAAUACCGGAUGAUGUCUUCGGACCAAAGAUUUAUCGCCUUUGGAUGGGCCCGCGUUGGAUUAGCUAGUUGGGGGGGUAAAGGCCUACCAAGGCGACGAUCCAUAGCUGGUCUGAGAGGAGGCUCAGCCGCACUGGGACUGAGACACGGCCCAGACUUCUACGGGAGGCAGCAGUGGCGAAUAUUGGAAAAUGGGCGAAAGCCUGAUCCAGCAAUGCCGCGAAAGUGAUGAAGGCCUUAGGGUUGUAAAGCUCUUUUACCCGAGAUGAUAAUGACAGUACCGGGAGAAUAAGCUCCGGCUAACUACGUG